GAUGAACGCUGACAGAAUGCUUAACACAUGCAAGUCCACUUGAAUUUGGGUUUUUAACUUAGGUUUGGGUGGCGGACGGGUGAGUAACGCGUAAAGAACUUGCCUCACAGCUAGGGACAACAUUUGGAAACGAAUGCUAAUACCUAAUAUUAUGAUAAUAGGGCAUCCUAUAAUUAUGAAAGCUAUAAGCGCUGUGAGAGAGCUUUGCGUCCCAUUAGCUAGUUGGAGAGGUAACGGCUCACCAAGGCGAUGAUGGGUAGCCGGCCUGAGAGGGUGAUCGGCCACAAGGGGACUGAGACACGGCCCGUACGCCUACGGGAGGCAGCAGUGGGGAAUAGUGGACAAUGGACCGAGAGUCUGAUCCAGCAAUUCGGUGUGCACGAUGAAGUUUUUCGGAAUGUAAAGUGCUUUCAGUUGGGAAGAAACAAAUGACGGUACCAACAGAAGAAGUGACGGCUAAAUACGUG
Molecule: ribosomal RNA, 467 nt
Filed under: uncultured bacterium
Lineage: Bacteria
Description: partial 16S ribosomal RNA
Rfam family: Bacterial small subunit ribosomal RNA
Source: RNAcentral